GUAGGUGGCAAGCGUCGUCCGGAAUUAUUGGGCGUAAAGCGCGCGCAGGCGGUUCUUUAAGUCUGAUGUGAAAGCCCACGGCUCAACCGUGGAGGGUCAUUGGAAACUGGAGAACUUGAGUACAGAAGAGGAAAGCGGAAUUCCACGUGUAGCGGUGAAAUGCGUAGAGAUGUGGAGGAACACCAGUGGCGAAGGCGGCUUUCUGGUCUGUAACUGACGCUGAGGCGCGAAAGCGUGGGGGAGCAAACAGGAUUAGAUACCCUGGUAGUCCACGCCGUAAACGAUGAGUGCUAAGUGUUAGGGGGUUUCCGCCCCUUAGUGCUGCAGCUAACGCAUUAAGCACUCCGCCUGGGAGUACGGCCGCAAGGCUG
Molecule: ribosomal RNA, 371 nt
Filed under: uncultured organism
Description: partial 16S ribosomal RNA
Rfam family: Bacterial small subunit ribosomal RNA
Source: RNAcentral